Molecule: ribosomal RNA, 459 nt
Filed under: uncultured bacterium
Lineage: Bacteria
Description: partial 16S ribosomal RNA
Rfam family: Bacterial small subunit ribosomal RNA
Source: RNAcentral
CCUACGGGAGGCAGCAGUGAGGAAUAUUGGUCAAUGGGCGGAAGCCUGAACCAGCCAAGUAGCGUGCGGGAUGAAGGCCCUACGGGUCGUAAACCGCUUUUGCACGGGGAUAACACCCUCCACUUGUGGAGGUCUGCAGGUACCGUGCGAAUAAGGGCCGGCUAAUUCCGUGCCAGCAGCCGCGGUAAUACGGAAGGCCCGAGCGUUAUCCGGAUUCAUUGGGCUUAAGGGGAGCGUAGGCGGGCGUUCAAGUCAGCUGUAAAAUCGCGCGGCUCAACCGCGCCCCGCAGUUGAAACUGGACGCAUUGAGUUCACAACAGGCAGGCGGAAUUCGGGGUGGAGCGGUGAAAUGCAUAGAUAUCACGAGGAACCCCGAUUGCGAAGGCAGCCUGCCGGGGUGCGACUGACGCUGAGGCUCGAAGGUGCGGGUAUCAAACAGGAUUAGAUACCCCAGUAGUC